RNAcentral lists this ribosomal RNA (504 nucleotides) under Enterobacter hormaechei. Its description in RNAcentral is "bacterial SSU rRNA". It matches the Rfam family "Bacterial small subunit ribosomal RNA", at positions 550 to 1053 of the family's 1533-position model. Lineage: Bacteria; Pseudomonadati; Pseudomonadota; Gammaproteobacteria; Enterobacterales; Enterobacteriaceae. The record is from RNAcentral.
AUUACUGGGGCGUAAGCGCACGCAGGCGGUCUGUCAAGUCGGAUGUGAAAUCCCCGGGCUCAACCUGGGAACUGCAUUCGAAACUGGCAGGCUAGAGUCUUGUAGAGGGGGGUAGAAUUCCAGGUGUAGCGGUGAAAUGCGUAGAGAUCUGGAGGAAUACCGGUGGCGAAGGCGGCCCCCUGGACAAAGACUGACGCUCAGGUGCGAAAGCGUGGGGAGCAAACAGGAUUAGAUACCCUGGUAGUCCACGCCGUAAACGAUGUCGACUUGGAGGUUGUGCCCUUGAGGCGUGGCUUCCGGAGCUAACGCGUUAAGUCGACCGCCUGGGGAGUACGGCCGCAAGGUUAAAACUCAAAUGAAUUGACGGGGGCCCGCACAAGCGGUGGAGCAUGUGGUUUAAUUCGAUGCAACGCGAAGAACCUUACCUACUCUUGACAUCCACAGAAGUGGCCAGAGAUGAUUUGGUGCCUUCCGCAACUCCGAGACAGGUGCUGCAUGGCUGUC